This 974-nucleotide long non-coding RNA is filed under the name Chinchilla lanigera (long-tailed chinchilla). RNAcentral describes it as "lncRNA (ENSCLAG00000023589.1)". The record is from RNAcentral. Lineage: Eukaryota; Metazoa; Chordata; Mammalia; Rodentia; Chinchillidae.
GCUUUUUAGGCAAAGUGUGGUUUGAAGAUGUUUGCCCUGUUCAUUUCUUAUCAAAACGGAUGAGGAAAAGCCCAGUGGCAGCUCAGGACUCUGAGGAGAACCACAAGGGGAGGAGAUUGCCACAGAUGGCUGCUGCUCUGCACCUCAAGGCACCCCUGAGCCUCUUGGGGGACACAUACCCUUGCUGCUGAACUGCAGUGCGAUCAGACAGCCACGUGUAGCUGGGGUCUGGUGUGGUUAGCACAGGCUCACACUAUCCUGGGCUCUCCGAAGGAGGCCCAGCUCCCACGACUUGAGUCCUUGCAAGCGCCAGUGGCCUGCAACUUUUGCCCUCACAGAGUCAGAGCCUUGCUGAGAGCCUCCUGCCCACUGCCCAGUGCAGCCCGCAUCCUAUGCAGCCCCUUACCAAGCUUUGAUUCUGCAGCCAGGCUGGAGCACAGUGUGCCCCACUUCCUUCCCUCCAAACCCCGUCAGGGCACGCUGGCCACCUUUCUCAGCACGGCACCCUUCCCAUUUGUGACCUGAUCUUCUCACAUCCCUGCUGUGGGAUCCCCACCCCCCACAUCGUCCUGUUGUUUCCUUCUCCAUCCCCAACCCUGGGCCCCUCUGGGAUAGGAGACAAGGUCUCUUUGCUCCCCAAAGGGGCUUUAUCACUUUUUUCUCCAUCUUUGGCAGCUACAGCAGUCCCAGAUGCCUGCAGACGGCUCUAUCACAGCCCUUCUGGCAGACUUGGCUUUGGUGGUGAUGAGCUUCAGGAUCAACUACAGGAUGCUCUCGCAUGCAUGUUUUGAUUCUUGCUGCACCAAUAAUAGACUGCACAGAGGAAGGAAGGUCCCCACUCUGUGCGGAGAAGUCUGGGACUCUGCAGUUCUCCAGAGGGAUCUGCAUGUCUGCCCAGCACAUCAUUCCCGGCCACGCUGGGGUUCAUGGGGCUUGGGUAUUUCUGCAUUGCAACUAUUGUAACAGUUUCCCAC